This 253-nucleotide ribosomal RNA is filed under the name uncultured bacterium. RNAcentral's name for it is "partial 16S ribosomal RNA". It matches the Rfam family "Bacterial small subunit ribosomal RNA", at positions 524 to 776 of the family's 1533-position model. The record is from RNAcentral.
UACGUAGGGUGCAAGCGUUGUCCGGAAUUAUUGGGCGUAAAGAGCUCGUAGGCGGUUUGUCGCGUCUGCUGUGAAAAUCCAGGGCUUAACCCUGGACCUGCAGUGGGUACGGGCAGACUAGAGUGCGGUAGGGGAGAUCGGAAUUCCUGGUGUAGCGGUGAAAUGCGCAGAUAUCAGGAGGAACACCGGUGGCGAAGGCGGAUCUCUGGGUCGUAACUGACGCUGAGGAGCGAAAGCAUGGGGAGCGAACAGG